UUGAACGCUGGCGGCAUGCUUUACACAUGCAAGUCGAACGGCAGCACGGGGCAACCUGGUGGCGAGUGGCGAACGGGUGAGUAAUAUAUCGGAACAUAUCCGGAAGUGGGGGAUAACGUAGCGAAAGUUACGCUAAUACCGCAUAUGCCCUGAGGGGGAAAGGGGGGGAUCGCAAGACCUCUCGCUUUCGGAGUGGCCGAUAUCGGAUUAGCUAGUAGGUGAGGUAAAGGCUCACCUAGGCGACGAUCCGUAGCUGGUCUGAGAGGACGACCAGCCACACUGGGACUGAGACACGGCCCAGACUCCUACGGGAGGCAGCAGUGGGGAAUUUUGGACAAUGGGCGCAAGCCUGAUCCAGCCAUGCCGCGUGAGUGAAGAAGGCCUUCGGGUUGUAAAGCUCUUUCAGCCGGAAAGAAAUCGUGCUUAUUAAUACUAAGUAUGGAUGACGGUACCGGAAGAAGAAGCACCGGCUAACUACGU
Molecule: ribosomal RNA, 480 nt
Filed under: uncultured bacterium
Lineage: Bacteria
Description: bacterial SSU rRNA
Rfam family: Bacterial small subunit ribosomal RNA
Source: RNAcentral